RNAcentral lists this long non-coding RNA (434 nucleotides) under Rattus norvegicus (Norway rat). Its description in RNAcentral is "long non-coding RNA NONRATT006623". Lineage: Eukaryota; Metazoa; Chordata; Mammalia; Rodentia; Muridae. The record is from RNAcentral.
GGAGAAUACCAAGGACUCUAGCAGGCUGCCUGAACCGAUCCUCACUGAUGAUCUAGACAGAAGGAGUUCAGACCGAAGUCACCACCCAACCAGGUCACUGAAGUUCACAGGAGGAAGCCCUGAAGUCUGGUUUUUCAAGUCCCCUCCUCACACAGCUGGGGCGACAGUUUACACUGAGGUGCCCAAGACUCCACCACACCACUCCAUUAGACCUGGCCUAUGGCCUACAGACUUAUCCCUCCACCAAGAGCCCUGGAGGACAAGGCUCAGAGACACCUCCACCCAUUUGGAUGCCCUAGGGCAGCAGAACUUCAAGUACUGCAUGUUCAUCCCUCCGGGUGGUAGCCUACUCCUGACAUGAUGAAGCCUUCCCUGUUGGCCUGAACACACUGGGUACUCAGCAAGGGUUGAAUUAAGGGAUACAUGAAACAAUG